Molecule: ribosomal RNA, 249 nt
Filed under: uncultured Acidimicrobiales bacterium
Lineage: Bacteria; Bacillati; Actinomycetota; Acidimicrobiia; Acidimicrobiales
Description: partial 16S ribosomal RNA
Rfam family: Bacterial small subunit ribosomal RNA
Source: RNAcentral
UGGGGAAUAUUGCACAAUGGGCGCAAGCCUGAUGCAGCGACGCCGCGUGCGGGAUGACGGCCUUAGGGUUGUAAACCGCUUUCAGCAGGGACGAAAUUGACGGUACCUGCAGAAGAAGCCCCGGCCAACUACGUGCCAGCAGCCGCGGUAAUACGUAGGGGGCCAGCGUUGUCCGGAUUUAUUGGGCGUAAAGAGCUCGUAGGCGGUCUGGUAAGUCGGAUGUGAAAUCUCCACGCUUAACGUGGAGGG